Molecule: ribosomal RNA, 956 nt
Filed under: Palola cf. siciliensis JZ-2010
Lineage: Eukaryota; Metazoa; Annelida; Polychaeta; Eunicida; Eunicidae
Description: partial 16S ribosomal RNA
Rfam family: Archaeal large subunit ribosomal RNA
Source: RNAcentral
AUCCCGAAAUUUAGUGAGCUGAUUAUUAUUUGUUAAGAACCCAGUAAUUAUUGUUGCAUUAAUAUUACAAAAAUAACAAUCAGAGGCUACAUACCUUCCGCACUAAAUGAUAUCUGGUUUUUCAUUAUCCCAGCUUUAGCUGAAAAAGUUAGCACUAAUUCCAAUUACUAACUCCCCAAGAUAUAUGAGGACAAGCUCAUCUAUCUUUCCUUAUUAUAUUAAUUUCUCCCCAUCUCUGUAGGCCUAAAACCAGCCACCCUAAAUCUCGUUAUAGAACCUAUAAAUCACUAUCCCACAUAAAUACCUCUCUAAUGAAAUACAUUCUAAAAUUAAAAAGACUUAUAACUAUGCAAAGAUCAGUAUUUUACUAAAACCUUACAACCUUAUCCUACCACACAUAUAAUGAAGGAACUCGGCAAAUACAUAUUCCGCCUGUUUAACAAAAACAUCGCCUAUAGCAACUUAACCUAUUAUAGGUACAUCCUGCCCAGUGAAAUUUUUAAACGGCCGCGGUAUCCUGACCGUGCAAAGGUAGCAUAAUCAUUUGCCCCCUAAUUAGGGGCUAGUAUGAAUGGACAAACGAGAUUAUACCUGUCUCCCCUAUACUCAUAAAAAUUUAUCUGCAGGUGAAGAAGCCUGCAUAAAAAUAAAAGACAAGAAGACCCUGUCAAGCUUUAAUUAUCACUAAGCAUCCCAUAAACAAUCCCACAUACACCUCCUUAAAACUAAUUUUUGUUGGGGCGACAAUGGAACAAACAAAACUUCCAACAUACUUUAGACAUCAAGUCUCACCAAAGAUCCUCAAACGAUAUUAGGAACUAGCUACUGCAGGGAUAACAGACUAAUCCCUCUUAAGAGCCCAAAUCUACAGAGGGGCUUGGCACCUCGAUGUUGGCUUAGGAUUUCACUUAGAUGCAGAAGUCUAAGAUGUAGGUUUGUUCAACCUUUAAUAUCCU